UACGGAGGAUGCAAGCGUUAUCCGGAUUUAUUGGGUUUAAAGGGUGCGCAGGCGGGGGAUUAAGUCGGCGGUGAAAUUUAGCAGCUCAACUGUAAAAGUGCCUUCGAAACUGGUUUCCUUGAGUGUAGAUGAAGUAGGCGGAAUUUGUGGUGUAGCGGUGAAAUGCAUAGAUAUCACGAGGAACUCCGAUUGCGCAGGCAGCUUACUAAACUACUACUGACGCUCAGGCACGAAGGCGUGGGGAUCAAACAGGAUUAGAUACCCGGGUAGUCCCU
Molecule: ribosomal RNA, 275 nt
Filed under: uncultured prokaryote
Description: partial 16S ribosomal RNA
Rfam family: Bacterial small subunit ribosomal RNA
Source: RNAcentral